UCUCCUCCUUUUUCCUUUCCUUCCCCCUCUUUCCUUUCUCAUAUCUCCUGUUGCUCCUGCCUUUGGAGGCCGGUCUCACCUCUUCCCUUUCCCGUAUUUUUUUAUGCUCCCUCGUGCCCCCCUCCAAAAAAAAAAAAAAAACCCAACCCUCUGCUUGAACCCUGUCGAAUGGCAUCUUUCUCUCAAACACUGCUUUUCUUUCAUUACAACACUCCCUUUCACCUCAGCUGCUGCCAAGAACCUGUCCACACAGUGGACAUGCAGGACACUGGGGCGUUGAUUACCCAGCUUUGCCUAGACAAGGUAUGCUGGUCCCCUUAGGUUCCUGCUCCACGGGAAAGUCUUGUCAAAUCCUCUGGGCCAGGCUGCUGCAGACUGAUGCCGCUCUGGGACCUCUCUCCCAAGGACCAUGGAGGGACCUGGGGUAGCUUUCCAGGUAGCCAGCUUCAUAGUAAAGGACAAACGGAUUUCCGACGUGACUUUCCACUGAAGAAACACAGAAAAUGAUUUCGGAUGUAUAAAUGCAACCUGUAAAGCAACCUGCCUUCUCUGCUCCCUCCAGGAACGGAUUCCUGAGGUCUCCAGGGCGGUGAUUAACUGAAUGCUUCUUCACCCAUACCUCCCGCUGAGCAC
Long non-coding RNA from Mesocricetus auratus (golden hamster), 633 nucleotides. RefSeq lists it as uncharacterized. The record is from RefSeq and is a predicted model, not a curated record. Lineage: Eukaryota; Metazoa; Chordata; Mammalia; Rodentia; Cricetidae. The transcript is spliced from 3 exons.